AUGGUGAUUUGUAAAUAUGUGGUUGGGGCGAUUCUUUGGUACACGUUAGUGCUUAAUGGAUGUACUUCUCCAAUCGGUUGUCCUUUCCACCGAAGUGGUGUUAAACAAGUUGACUUGGAGGGCAAAGACUCUGAAAAUCCAUCACAGCCAGUGGUAGCAAAGUGUAACUUGGCGGUUUUGCUUUCUUUAAAGAAUACGACUGGGAUAGUUAUCCAAAGAGGCGUUGUUGGGAAGUUAAAUGGCUCUAUCCCUUACCCACUUGAAAUUUCUAGCCCCCAUAUCACCAAGGAGUCUAGUCCUGUGCUGGCUAAGGCUGAUACAAAGUUGAGAUUGUCCAGUUGUCUCUCUGCUCAGGAGACUGUUCUCCCAAUUUCUAAGAUUGAGAAACAGACUGAGUCUAUCCCCACUUUUGUAAAGUCCAACCCUUUGUCUGCUGCAUCUAGUCCUAUCCCUGUGGUGUCCAGCCCUCUACCUGCUCCAUCUAAGAAUCUGACUGAAUCCAGUCCCCCUUUUGAUGAGUCCACCUCCCUGCCUGCUGCAUCUAGUCCCCCUUCUAUGGCAUCCAGCACUCUUCGUACUGAGAAGCUGAUUGAUUCUAGACCCCUUUUUGUGGAGACUGGUUCCAUAAUUGUGGCAUCCAGUCCUGUACCCACUGAGAAGCACACGGAGACUGGUUCUCUAUCUGUGGAGAUUGGUCCUGUACCCACUGCGAAGCUUAGUGAGACUGGUUCUGUAUCUGUGGAGAUUGGUCCUGUACCUACUGAGAAGCUAACUGAGACUAUAUCUGUGGAGAUUGGUCCUGUCCCUGCUCAGAAGGUGACUGAAACUGGUUCUGUGGAGAUUGGUCCUUUCCCCACUGAGAAGAUGACUGAAACUGGUUCUAUAUCUAUUGCAUCCAGUCCUGUACCCACUCAGAAGAUAACAGAGACUGGUUCUGUAUCUGUGGAGAUUGGUCCUCUCCCCACUCAGAAGCUGACUGAGACUGGUUCUGUAUCUGUGGAGAUUGGUCCUUUCCCCACUCAGAAGGUGACUGAAACUGGUUCUAUAUCUGUGGAGAUUGGUCCUGCACCCACUCAGAAGCUGACUGAGACUGGUUCUGUAUCUGUGGAGGUUGGUCCUGUACCCACUCAGAAGAUAACCGAGACUGGUUCUGUAUCUGUGGAGAUUGGUCCUUUCCCCACUCAGAAGGUGACUGAAACUGGUUCUAUAUCUGUGGAGAUUGUUACUGCACCCACUCAGAAGCUGACUGAGACUGGUUCUGUAUCUGUGGAGGUUGGUUCUUUCCCCACUCAGAAGGUGACUGAAACUGGUUCUGUAUCUGUGGAGGUUGGUCCUGUACCCACUCAGAAGAUAACAAACACUGGUUCUAUAUCUGUGGAGAUUGUUCCUGCACCCACUCAGAAGCUGACUGAGACUGGUUCUGUAUCUGUGGAGGUUGUUCCUGUACCCACUCAGAAGAUAACAGACACUGGUUCUGUAUCUGUAGAGGUUGGUCCUUUCCCGACUCAGAAGGUGACAGAAACUGGUUCCUUAUCUGUGGAGAUUGGUCCUGUCCCCACUCAGAAGCUGACUGAGACUGGUUCUGUAUCUGUGGAGAUUGGUCCUUUCCCCACUCAGAAGCUGACUGAGACUGGUUCUGUAUCUGUGGAGGUUGGUUCUUUCCCCACGCAGAAGGUGACUGAAACUGGUUCUGUAUCUGUGGAGGUUGGUCCUAUCCCCACUCAGAAGGUGACUGAAACUGGUUCUGUAUCUGUGGAGGUUGUUCCUGUACCCACUCAGAAGAUAACCGAGACUGGUUCUGUAUCUGUGGAGGUUGGUUCUUUCCCCACUCAGAAGGUGACUGAAACUGGUUCUGUAUCUGUGGAGAUUGUUCCUGUACCCACUCAGAAGCUGACUGAGACUGGUUCUGUAUCUGUGGAGGUUGUUCCUGUACCCACUCAGAAGGUGACAGAAACUGGUUCCUUAUCUGUGGAGGUUGGUCCUGUCCCCACAGAGAAGAUGACUGAGACUGGUUCUGUAUCUGUGGAGGUUGUUCCUGUACCCACUCAGAAGAUAACCGAGACUGGUUCUGUAUCUGUGGAGGUUGUUCCUGUACCCACUCAGAAGAUAACCGAGACUGGUUCUGGAUCUGUGGAGGUUGGUCCUGUACCCACUCAGAAGAUAACAAACACUGGUUCUGUAUUAGUGGAGAUUGGUCCUCUCCCCACUCAGAAGGUGACUGAAACUGGUUCUGUAUCUGUGGAGGUUGGUCCUGUACCCACUCAGAAGGUGACUGAAACUGGUUCCUUAUCUGUGGAGGUUGGUCCUGUCCCCACUCAGAAGAUGACUGAAACUGGUUCUGUAUCUGUGGAGGUUGGUCCUGUACCCACUCAGAAGAUAACAGACACUGGUUCUGUAUCUGUAGAGGUUGGUCCUUUACCGACUCAGAAGGUGACAGAAACUGGUUCCUUAUCUGUGGAGAUUGGUCCUGUACCCACUCAGAAGCUGACUGAGACUGGUUCUGUAUCUGUGGAGGUUGUUCCUGUACCCACUCAGAAGGUGACUGAAACUGGUUCUGUAUCUGUGGAGGUUGUUCCUGUACCCACUCAGAAGAUAACCGAGACUGGUUCUGUAUCUGUGGAGGUUGGUCCUGUACCCACUCAGAAGAUAACAGACACUGGUUCUGUAUCUGUAGAGGUUGGUCCUUUCCCGACUCAGAAGGUGACAGAAACUGGUUCCUUAUCUGUGGAGAUUGGUCCUGUCCCCACUCAGAAGCUGACUGAGACUGGUUCUGUAUCUGUGGAGGUUGGUUCUUUCCCCACGCAGAAGGUGACUGAAACUGGUUCUGUAUCUGUGGAGGUUGGUCCUAUCCCCACUCAGAAGGUGACUGAAACUGGUUCUGUAUCUGUGGAGGUUGUUCCUGUACCCACUCAGAAGAUAACCGAGACUGGUUCUGUAUCUGUGGAGGUUGGUCCUGUACCCACUCAGAAGAUAACAGACACUGGUUCUGUAUCUGUAGAGGUUGGUCCUUUCCCGACUCAGAAGGUGACAGAAACUGGUUCCUUAUCUGUGGAGAUUGGUCCUGUCCCCACUCAGAAGCUGACUGAGACUGGUUCUGUAUCUGUGGAGGUUGGUUCUUUCCCCACGCAGAAGGUGACUGAAACUGGUUCUGUAUCUGUGGAGGUUGGUCCUAUCCCCACUCAGGUGACUGAAACUGGUUCUGUAUCUGUGGAGGUUGUUCCUGUACCCACUCAGAAGCUGACUGAAACUGGUUCUGUAUCUGUGGAGAUUGUUCCUGUACCCACUCAGAAGAUGACCGAGACUGGUUCUGUAUCUGUGGAGGUUGGUUCUUUCCCCACUCAGAAGGUGACUGAAACUGGUUCUGUUUCUGUGGAGGUUGUUCCUGUACCCACUCGGAAGAUAACCGAGACUGGUUCUGUAUCUGUGGAGGUUGGUCCUGUACCCACUCAGAAGAUAACAGACACUGGUUCUGUAUCUGUGGAGGUUGGUCCUGUACCCACUCAGAAGAUAACAGACACUGGUUCUGUAUCUGUAGAGGUUGGUCCUUUCCCGACUCAGAAGGUGACAGAAACUGGUUCCUUAUCUGUGGAGAUUGGUCCUGUCCCCACUCAGAAGCUGACUGAGACUGGUUCUGUAUCUGUGGAGGUUGGUUCUUUCCCCACGCAGAAGGUGACUGAAACUGGUUCUGUAUCUGUGGAGGUUGGUCCUAUCCCCACUCAGGUGACUGAAACUGGUUCUGUAUCUGUGGAGGUUGUUCCUGUACCCACUCAGAAGCUGACUGAAACUGGUUCUGUAUCUGUGGAGAUUGUUCCUGUACCCACUCAGAAGCUGACCGAGACUGGUUCUGUAUCUGUGGAGGUUGGUUCUUUCCCCACUCAGAAGGUGACUGAAACUGGUUCUGUUUCUGUGGAGGUUGUUCCUGUACCCACUCAGAAGAUAACAGACACUGGUUCUGUAUCUGUGGAGUUUGUUCCUGUACCCACGCAGAAGGUGACUGAAACUGGUUCUGUAUCUGUGGAGGUUGUUCCUGCACCCACUCAGAAGAUAACCGAGACUGGUUCUGUAUCUGUGGAGAUUGGUCCUUUCCCCACUCAGAAGCUGACUGAGACUGGUUCUGUAUCUGUGGAGGUUGUUCCUGUACCCGCUCAGAAGAUAACCGAGACUGGUUCUGUAUCUGUGGAGGUUGGUCCUGUACCCACUCAGAAGAUAACAGACACUGGUUCUGUAUCUGUAGAGGUUGGUCCUUUCCCGACUCAGGUGACAGAAACUGGUUCCUUAUCUGUGGAGAUUGGUCCUGUCCCCACUCAGAAGAUGACUGAGACUGGUUCUGUAUCUGUGGAGGUUGGUCCUGUACCCACUCAGAAGAUGACUGAGACUGGUUCUGUAUCUGUGGAGGUUGGUCCUGUACCCACUCAGAAGAUGACCGAGACUGGUUCUGUAUCUGUGGAGGUUGGUCCUGUACCCACUCAGAAGAUAACCGAGACUGGUUCUGUAUCUGUGGAGGUUGGUUCUGUCCCCACUCAGAAGGUGACUGAAACUGGUUCUGUAUCUGUGGAGGUUGUUCCUGUACCCACUCAGAAGAUAACAGACACUGGUUCUGUAUCUGUGGAGGUUGUUCCUGUACCCACGCAGAAGGUGACUGAAACUGGUUCUGUAUCUGUGGAGGCUGUUCCUGCACCCACUCAGAAGAUAACCGAGACUGGUUCUGUAUCUGUGGAGAUUGGUCCUUUCCCCACUCAGAAGCUGACUGAAACUGGUUCUGUAUCUGUGGAGGUUGUUCCUGUACCCACUCAGAAGAUAACAGACACUGGUUCUGUAUCUGUGGAGGUUGGUCCUUUCCCCACUCAGAAGCUGACUGAGACUGGUUCUGUAUCUGUGGAGGUUGGUUCUUUCCCCACGCAGAAGGUGACUGAAACUGGUUCUGUAUCUGUGGAGGUUGUUCCUGCACCCACUCAGAAGAUAACCGAGACUGGUUCUGUAUCUGUGGAGGUUGUUCCUGUACCCACUCAGAAGCUGACUGAAACUGGUUCUAUAUCUAUUGCAUCCAGUCCUGUCCCCACUCAGAAGAUAACCGAGACUGGUUCUGGAUCUGUGGAGGUUGGUCCUGUCCCCACUCAGAAGAUGACUGAAACUGGUUCUGUAUCUGUGGAGGUUGGUCCUGUCCCCACUCAGAAGAUGACUGAAACUGGUUCUGUAUCUGUGGAGAUUGGUCCUGUACCCACUCAGAAGAUGACUGACACUGGUUCUGUAUCUGUGGAGGUUGGUCCUGUCCCCACUCAGAAGAUAACCGAGACUGGUUCUGUAUCUGUGGAGGUUGGUCCUGUACCCACUCAGAAGAUAACCGAGACUGGUUCUGUAUCUGUGGAGGUUGGUCCUGUCCCCACUCAGAAGGUGACUGAAACUGGUUCUGUAUCUGUGGAGGUUGGUUCUGUACCCACUCAGAAGCUGACUGAGACUGGUUCUGUAUCUGUGGAGGUUGGUUCUUUCCCCACGCAGAAGGUGACUGAAACUGGUUCUGUAUCUGUGAAGGUUGUUCCUGCACCCACUCAGAAGAUAACCGAGACUGGUUCUGUAUCUGUGGAGGUUGUUCCUGUACCCACUCAGAAGCUGACUGAAACUGGUUCUAUAUCUAUUGCAUCCAGUCCUGUCCCCACAGAGAAGAUGACUGAAACUGGUUCUGUAUCUGUGGAGGUUGUUCCUGAACCCACUCAGAAGAUAACAGACACUGGUUCUGUAUCUGUGGAGGUUGGUCCUGUACCCACUCAGAAGAUAACCGAGACUGGUUCUGUAUCUGUGGAGGUUGUUUCUGUACCCACUCAGAAGCUGACUGAAACUGGUUCUAUAUCUAUUGCAUCCAGUCCUCUCCCCACAGAGAAGAUGACUGAAACUGGUUCUGUAUCUGAGGUUGUUCCUGUACCCACUCAGAAGAUAACAGACACUGGUUCUGUAUCUGUGGAGGUUGGUCCUUUCCCCACUCAGAAGCUGACUGAAACUGGUUCUAUAUCUAUUGCAUCCAGUCCUGUCCCCACAGAGAGGAUAACCGAGACUGGUUCUGUAUCUGUGGAGAUUGGUCCUUUCCCCACUCAGAAGGUGACUGAAACUGGUUCUCUAUCUGUGGAGAUUGGUCCCGUCCCUACUCAGAAGGUGACUGACACUGGUUCUCUAUCUGUGGAGGUUGGUGCCGUCCCUACUCAGAAGGUGACUGAAACUGGUUCUAUAUCUGUGGAGGUUGGUCCUGUCCCCACUCAGAAGCUGACUGAGACUGGUUCUGUAUCUGUGGAGGUUGGUCCUGUACCCACUCAGAAGAUAACUGAGACUGGUUCUGUAUCUGUGGAGGUUGGUCCUGUACCCACUCAGAAGCUGACUGAGACUGGUUCUGUAUCUGUGGAGGUUGGUCCUGUACCCACUCAGAAGCUGACUGAGACUGGUUCUGUAUCUGUGGAGGUUGGUCCUGUCCCCACUCAGAAGGUGACUGAAACUGGUUCUCUAUCUGUGGAGGUUGGUCCUGUCCCUACUCAGAAGGUGACUGAAACUGGUUCUCUAUCUGUGGAGGUUGGUCCUGUCCCUACUCAGAAGGUGACUGAAACUGGUUCUGUAUCUGUGGAGGUUGGUCCUGUACCCACUCAGAAGGUGACUGAAACUGGUUCUGUAUCUGUGGAGAUUGUUCCUGUACCCACUCAGAAGCUGACUGAGACUGGUUCUGUAUCUGUGGAGGUUGGUUUUUUCCCCACGCAGAAGGUGACUGAAACUGGUUCCUUAUCUGUGGAGGUUGGUCCUGUCCCCACUCAGAAGUUGACUGAAACUGAUUCUGUAUCUGUGGAGAUUGUUCCUGUACCCACUCAGAAGCUGACUGAGACUGGUUCUGUAUCUGUGGAGGUUGGUCCUGUACCCACUCAGAAGACAAACGAGACUGGUUCUGUAUCUGUGGAGGUUGGUUCUUUCCCCACGCAGAAGGUGACUGAAACUGGUUCUGUAUCUGUGGAGGUUGUUCCUGUACCCACUCAGAAGAUAACCGAGACUGGUUCUGUAUCUGUGGAGGUUGGUCCUGUCCCCACUCAGAAGGUGACUGAAACUGGUUCUCUAUCUGUGGAGAUUGGUACCGUCCCUACUCAGAAGGUGACUGAAACUGGUUCUCUAUCUGUGGAGAUUGGUCCCGUCCCUACUCAGAAGGUGACUGAAACUGGUUCUGUAUCUGUGGAGGUUGGUCCUGUACCCACUCAGAAGAUAACUGAGACUGGUUCUGUAUCUGUGGAGGUUGGUCCUGUCCCCACUCAGAAGGUGACUGAAACUGGUUCUGUAUCUGUGGAGGUUGGUCCUGUACCCACUCAGAAGAUAACUGAAACUGGUUCCUUAUCUGUGGAGGUUGGUCCUGUCCCCACUCAGAAGGUGACUGAGACAGCUUCUGUAUCUGUGGAGAUUGGUCCUGUCCCCACUGAGAAGAUGACUGAAACUGGUUCUGUAUCUGUGGAGGUUGGUCCUGUACCCACUCAGAAGAUGACUGAAACUGGUUCUGUAUCUGUGGAGGUUGGUCCUGUACCCACUCAGGUGACUGAAACUGGUUCUCUAUCUGUGGAGAUUGGUACCGUCCCUACUCAGAAGGUGACUGAAACUGGUUCUCUAUCUGUGGAGAUUGGUCCCGUCCCUACUCAGAAGGUGACUGAAACUGGUUCUGUAUCUGUGGAGGUUGGUCCUGUACCCACUCAGAAGGUGACUGAAACUGGUUCUGUAUCUGUGGAGAUUGUUCCUGUACCCACUCAGAAGCUGACUGAGACUGGUUCUGUAUCUGUGGAGGUUGGUCCUUUCCCCACUCAGAAGGUGACUGAAACUGGUUCUUUAUCUGUGGAGGUUGGUCCUGUCCCCACUCAGAAGUUGACUGAAACUGAUUCUGUAUCUGUGGAGAUUGUUCCUGUACCCACUCAGAAGCUGACUGAGACUGGUUCUGUAUCUGUGGAGGUUGGUCCUGUACCCACUCAGAAGACAACCGAGACUGGUUCUGUAUCUGUGGAGGUUGGUUCUGUCCCCACUCAGAAGGUGACUGAAACUGGUUCUGUAUCUGUGGAGGUUGUUCCUGUACCCACUCAGAAGAUAACCGAGACUGGUUCUGUAUCUGUGGAGGUUGGUCCUGUCCCCACUCAGAAGGUGACUGAAACUGGUUCUCUAUCUGUGGAGAUUGGUCCCGUCCCUACUCAGAAGGUGACUGAAACUGGUUCUCUAUCUGUGGAGAUUGGUCCCGUCCCUACUCAGAAGGUGACUGAAACUGGUUCUGUAUCUGUGGAGGUUGGUCCUGUACCCACUCAGAAGAUAACCGAGACUGGUUCUGUAUCUGUGGAGGUUGGUUUUUUCCCCACGCAGAAGGUGACUGAAACUGGUUCUGUAUCUGUGGAGGUUGGUCCUGUACCCACUCAGAAGAUAACUGAAACUGGUUCCUUAUCUGUGGAGGUUGGUCCUGUCCCCACUCAGAACCAGUCUCAGUUAUCUUCUGUUUCUUUGGAGAUUGGUCCUGUCCCCACUGAGAAGAUAACAGAAACUGGUUCUGUAUCUGUGGAGGUUGGUCCUGUACCCACUCAGAAGAUAACCGACACUGGUUCUGUAUCUGUGGAGAUUGGUCCUUUCCCCACUGAGAAGAUAACUGAGAGUGGUUCGGUUUCUUUGGAGAUUGGUACUCUCCCCACUCAGAAGGUGACAGAAACUGGUUCUGUAUCUGUGGAUAUUGUUCCUGUACCCACUCAAAAGCUGGCUGAGACUGGUUCUGUAUCUAUUGCAUCCAGUCCUGUCCCCACAGAGAGGAUAACCGAGACUGGUUCUGGAUCUGUGGAGGUUGGUCCUGUACCCACUCAGAAGAUAACCGAGACUGGUUCUGUAUCUGUGGAGAUUGGUCCUGUCCCCACUCAGGUGACUGACACUGGUUCUAUAUCUGUGGAGGUUGGUGCCGUCCCCACUCAGAAGGUGACUGAAACUGGUUCUCUAUCUGUGGAGAUUGGUCCCAUCCCUACUCAGAAGGUGACUGACACUGGGUCUCUAUCUGUGGAGGUUGGUGCCGUCCCUACUCAGAAGGUGACUGAAACUGGUUCUGUAUCUGUGGAGGUUGGUCCUGUCCCCACUCAGAAGAUAACAGAGACUGGUUCUAUAUCUGUGCCAUCCAGUCCUGUACCCCCUGAGAAAAUAAACUCUACUGGUGCACUAUUUGUCAUAUCCAGCCUCCUCCCUACUGUGAGGGUAACUGAAUCUGGUUCUGUACCUUUGGCAUUCAGUCCUGUCCCCACUGAGAAGCAACAUGAGGCUGGUUCUGUAUCUGUGGAGAUUGGUCCUUUCCCCACUCAGAAGAUGACAGAAACUGGUUCUAUAUCUGUGGGGGUUGGCCCCGUCCCCACUAAGAAGGUGACUGAAACUGGUUCUGUAUCUGUGGAGGUUGGUCCUGUCCCCACUCAGAAGGUGACUGACACUGGUUCUGUAUCUGUGGAGGUUGGUCCUGUCCCCACUCAGAAGGUGACUGACACUGGUUCUGUAUCUGUGGAGGUUGUUCCUGUACCCACUCAGAAGAUAACCGAGACUGGUUCUGUAUCUGUGGAGAUUGGUCCUGUACCCACUCGGAAGAUAACCGAGACUGGUUCUGGAUCUGUGGAGAUUGGUCCUGUACCCACUCAGAAGCUGACUGAAACUGGUUCUAUAUCUACUGCAUCCAGUCCUGUCCCCACUGAGAAGAUAACAGAAACUGGUUCUGUAUCUGUGGAGGUUGGUCCUGUCCCCACUCAGAAGGUGACUGAAACUGGUUCUCUAUCUGUGGAGGUUGGUCCUGUCCCCACUCAGGUGACUGACACUGGUUCUAUAUCUGUGGAGGUUGGUGCCGUCCCCACUCAGAAGGUAACUGAAACUGGUUCUCUAUCUGUGGAGGUUGGUCCUGUACCCACUGAGAAGGUGACUGAAACUGGUUCUGUAUCUGUGGAGGUUGGUCCUGUCCCCACUCAGAAGGUGACUGAAACUGGUUCUCUAUCUGUGGAGGUUGGUCCCGUCCCUACUCAGAAGGUGACUGACACUGGUUCUAUAUCUGUGGAGGUUGGUGCCAUCCCCACUCAGAAGGUGACUGAAACUGGUUCUCUAUCUGUGGAGGUUGGUCCUGUCCCCACUCAGAAGGUGACUGAAACUGGUUCUCUAUCUGUGGAGAUUGGUACCGUCCCUACUCAGAAGGUGACUGAAACUGGUUCUGUAUCUGUGGAGGUUGGUCCUGUACCCACUCAGAAGGUGACUGAAACUGGUUCUCUAUCUGUGGAGGUUGGUCCCGUCCCUACUCAGAAGGUGACUGACACUGGUUCUAUAUCUGUGGAGGUUGGUGCCAUCCCCACUCAGAAGGUGACUGAAACUGGUUCUCUAUCUGUGGAGAUUGGUCCCGUCCCUACUCAGAAGGUGACUGAAACUGGUUCUCUAUCUGUGGAGAUUGGUCCCGUCCCCACUCAGAAGGUGACUGAAACUGGUUCUGUAUCUGUGGAGGUUGGUCCUGUCCCCACUCAGAAGCUGACUGAGACUGGUUCUGUAUCUGUGGAGGUUGUUCCUGUACCCACUGAGAAGAUAACCGAGACUGGUUCUGUAUCUGUGGAGGUUGGUUCUUUCCCCACGCAGAAGGUGACUGAAACUGGUUCUGUAUCUGUGGAGGUUGUUCCUGUACCCACUGAGAAGAUAACCGAGACUGGUUCUGUAUCUGUGGAGGUUGGUUCUUUCCCCACACAGAAGGUGACUGAAACUGGUUCUGUAUCUGUGGAGGUUGGUCCUGUACCCACUCAGAAGGUGACUGAAACUGGUUCUGUAUCUGUGGAGGUUGGUCCUGUACCCACUCAGAAGGUGACUGACACUGGUUCUGUAUCUGUGGAGGUUGGUCCUGUCCCCACUCAGAAGGUGACUGAAACUGGUUCUCUAUCUGUGGAGGUUGGUCCCGUCCCUACUCAGAAGGUGACUGACACUGGUUCUAUAUCUGUGGAGGUUGGUGCCAUCCCCACUCAGAAGGUGACUGAAACUGGUUCUCUAUCUGUGGAGGUUGGUCCUGUCCCCACUCAGAAGGUGACUGAAACUGGUUCUCUAUCUGUGGAGAUUGGUACCGUCCCUACUCAGAAGGUGACUGAAACUGGUUCUCUAUCUGUGGAGAUUGGUCCCGUCCCUACUCAGAAGGUGACUGACACUGUUUCUCUAUCUGUGGAGGUUGGUGCCGUCCCUACUCAGAAGGUGACUGAAACUGGUUCUGUAUCUGUGGAGAUUGGUCCUGUACCCACUCAGAAGAUAGAGACUGGUUCUGAAUCUGUGGCAUCCAGUCCUGUCCCCACUGAGAAAAACUCUUCUGGUGCACUGUUUGUCAUAUCCAGCCUUCUCCCUACUGCAAAGAUAACUGAAUCUGUACCUGUGGAGUUUGGAACAGUCCCCACUCAGAAGGUGACUGAAACUGGCUCUGUAUCUGUGGAGGUUGGUCCUGUCCCCACUCAGAAGGUGACUGAAACUGGUUCUUUAUCUGUGGAGGUUGGUCCUGUCCCCACUCAGAAGGUGACUGUAACUUAUUCUACAUCUGUUGGAGCCAGUCAUCCACAUGCUCAGGCUAAGAAAGUGACUGUAUCUAGUCCUCCCGUGUUGAGCUCUGUCACAGCUGAGAAACUUCCUCUCCCUAGUCCCUUGUCUUUAUCGAGCAUUCAGCCUUCUCCCAGUACGGAUGUCAGGCCUAUGUCAGUUUCCCGUCCGGGUCAGAUUAGCUCUCAACAUUCCAAUAUGGUUUUGAAGAGGUUGAAGUCACGUCUUUACCCUGGUGAACAAUCCACUCAGAAGCUAAUUGCAUGUUUGCGUAAACCAGGCUGUGCGUUUAAGGGUGUACGUUUCUAA
RNAcentral lists this long non-coding RNA (11853 nucleotides) under Danio rerio (zebrafish). Its description in RNAcentral is "lncRNA si:ch73-160p18.5 (ENSDARG00000099967.2)". The record is from RNAcentral. Lineage: Eukaryota; Metazoa; Chordata; Actinopteri; Cypriniformes; Danionidae.